RNAcentral lists this ribosomal RNA (208 nucleotides) under uncultured bacterium. RNAcentral describes it as "partial 16S ribosomal RNA". It matches the Rfam family "Bacterial small subunit ribosomal RNA", at positions 29 to 250 of the family's 1533-position model. The record is from RNAcentral.
AACGAACGCUGGCGGCAUGCCUAACACAUGCAAGUCGAACGAGGGUCCCAGCUUGCUGGGGUGCCCUAGUGGCGGACGGGUGAGUAACGCGUGGGAACCUGCCAUGGAGUGAAGGAUAACCACUGGAAACGGUGGCUAAUACUGCAUAAUCCCUGAGGGGGAAAGGCUUCGGCCGCUCUUUGAUGGUCCCGCGUUAGAUUAGCUUGUU